UUCUAAACAUUUUUGGAACUUCAUCUUUAGAAUGAUUAUCCUAACUUUCUAUUUUUAAAAGAAGACUACACAUUACACUAUUUUUAGUAUCACUAGAAGCUUUCGCUUCAAACUCCUCCAGAGAAACGCUAUAAAUAGAUGGCUCAUUAUCGCUUUUUCCAAGUAAUACGCCAAUACCAUUUGCAUAACACUUACAUACCAGACGGUGUCAUAACAAUUUUCUCCAGACAUACCGCAUGCUUUCUUCUCAGCGAUUCAAGCCUAAAUAUACAAUUUCCGAUCCUUUAACUUACCUAAAACGGUUGUGUUGACUCUUGAAGCACAAAGUCAGAAACGAAAUUUUAUUCGGAGUUUUAAAAGCGCAUUAGUGGCUUUUGUGCAAUAUCUUCUAUUAUUACUCUUUUCUUAAUUUUUUUUUUUUUAAGUUUAGAUUCUAAGUUA
This is a long non-coding RNA of Zophobas morio, 441 nucleotides long. RefSeq lists it as uncharacterized. The record is from RefSeq and is a predicted model, not a curated record. NCBI's taxonomy places the organism in Eukaryota, Metazoa, Arthropoda, Insecta, Coleoptera, Tenebrionidae. The transcript has 3 exons.